UACGUAGGGUGCAAGCGUUGUCCGGAAUUAUUGGGCGUAAAGAGCUCGUAGGCGGUUUGUCGCGUCUGCUGUGAAAACCUAAGGCUCAACCUUGGGCUUGCAGUGGGUACGGGCAGACUAGAGUGCGGUAGGGGUGACUGGAAUUCCUGGUGUAGCGGUGGAAUGCACAGAUAUCAGGAGGAACACCGAUGGCGAAGGCAGGUCACUGGGCCGCAACUGACGCUGAGGAGCGAAAGCAUGGGGAGCGAACAGG
RNAcentral lists this ribosomal RNA (253 nucleotides) under uncultured bacterium. Its description in RNAcentral is "partial 16S ribosomal RNA". It matches the Rfam family "Bacterial small subunit ribosomal RNA", at positions 524 to 776 of the family's 1533-position model. The record is from RNAcentral.